This 450-nucleotide ribosomal RNA is filed under the name uncultured bacterium. RNAcentral describes it as "partial 16S ribosomal RNA". It matches the Rfam family "Bacterial small subunit ribosomal RNA", at positions 354 to 796 of the family's 1533-position model. The record is from RNAcentral.
GUGGGGAAUCUUCCACAAUGGACGAAAGUCUGAUGGAGCAACGCCGCGUGAGUGAAGAAGGGUUUCGGCUCGUAAAGCUCUGUUGUCGGGGACGAAUGUGCAGUAUUUGAAUAAAGUACUGUAAUGACGGUACCUGACGAGGAAGCCACGGCUAACUACGUGCCAGCAGCCGCGGUAAUACGUAGGUGGCAAGCGUUGUCCGGAAUUAUUGGGCGUAAAGGGAGCGCAGGCGGGAAGGUAAGUCGGUCUUAAAAGUGCGGGGCUCAACCCCGUGAUGGGAUCGAAAAUAUCUUUCUUGAGUGCAGGAGAGGAAAGUGGAAUUCCUAGUGGAGCGGUGAAAUGCGUAGGUAUUAGGAGGAACACCAGUGGCGAAGGCGACUUUCUGGACUGUAACUGACGCUGAGGCUCGAAAGCCAGGGGAGCGAACGGGAUUAGAUACCCGGGUAGUCC